RNAcentral lists this ribosomal RNA (296 nucleotides) under uncultured bacterium. Its description in RNAcentral is "partial 16S ribosomal RNA". It matches the Rfam family "Bacterial small subunit ribosomal RNA", at positions 775 to 1067 of the family's 1533-position model. The record is from RNAcentral.
GGAUUAGAUACCCUGGUAGUCCACGCCGUAAACGAUGUUCACUAGGUGUAGGGGGUAUCGACUCCCUCUGUGCCGGAGUUAACGCAUUAAGUGAACCACCUGGGGAAUACGAUCGCAAGAUUAAAACUCAAAGGAAUUGACGGGGGCCCGCACAAGCGGUGGAGUAUGUGGUUUAAUUCGAAGCAACCCGAUGAACCUUACCAGGGCUUGACAUUAGUGGACCGCCGUGGAAACACGGUUUCUCCCUCACGGGAGCCGCUGGACAGGUGUUGCAUGGCUGUCGUCAGCUCGUGUCG